GGAAAGUCGGGGGAGUACGGGCGAGCCGGCCUAGCGUCUGGAAUUCUUCAAUGGGUUAAUCAAGGUUUAGCAGAGCCAAGCUGGACGUGAGCCAUUGUAAAGAAGAGACGCCCUCGUGCCAGAAACCCAAACCUUGAUCUCAGAUUUAAGCACUCUUGGUGAGAAAACUGCACAGAACAAAACAACAACAUUUUCCUACUCCUGUGAACGCAACCAAUGACAGUACGGCUAAAGACCAACCUUGGCCAAUGGGCCACACUUUGGGCCACCCUGAUCUAGGUAAACUUUAGCCCUGUAAACUCACUACACUACUGACCCUGACUGCAUCACCUGCCGAAACGGAACAGCUCCCAACCCUGAUACUGUAAGUACUCUGGUGUUUUCCCCACUCCAACACACCUGAUUCUACUAAUCAACUCAUUAACAAGCCCCUUCUGAGAUGACACAGGUGUGUUAGAGCAGGAAAACAACUCCAAGAUCAGGAACCACUAAAAACACCAAUCCAUAGACUAUUUUCAACGGAUACUGAAUGCUGGAUUCGAGUAUAAACAUAUUAUAUUGCUUUCUACUUUUCAGUUAAGUCUUAUUCUUCAUAUUUUCCUCUUUGUGUUAGACUCAAUGCCACUAUCUUUUUCCUUUUCCCAUGCGUUUAGUCUUUAACUCUUCAGUAAAGCCUUUAAAAUCUACCACCAUCAUUCUUAUUAUUGUAGAGGCUUUGGCUCAGUGAGGUCCUAUCAGAAAGUCACUGGAAAUGCGCUGUAAUGAAGCAGUUUAUCAACAUUCCAGUCACCAGAAUUACUGUCUAGCACACCUAGUCCUCAAGUCAUUAGCGCCUGACACACCUGGACAACUCACCUUUAUUACUACUGACAAAUUUACCAACACUGACAGACUAACUUCAGGAGAAACAAGAGCUGCCGGAACAGAAACAAAAGCUACUUUGUGUUUCAGUUGAUUGUCACCAUCUGUUAUGACCAUGCCCUUUCUGACAUACAGGUAUAAGACUGCUGCGUAAUUUGUAAAGACUUCAGCUUAGCUUCUUAAAACCUCAUGCUGAACACUGACGCAACACUACAAGGAAAGACAUCCAUAAUAAAACACUCUGAAUGUUUACUGUCCUACUUACUCCCGUCUCACAAACUCAGUGGAACAGAACUCUUGAUUGCAACACUCACGAUGUGGAAACCGUCCAAUUCAUAACACGAUGACAAAUCAGGUUACGCAGACAUCUGUUAUAUUUUACUAUUAUAUUUACAUGGAAACAUAUUUAAAGGCAAUGCAGCACUCAUGGCAUUGACAGCAGACCAUACAGUCUUACAGAGCCAGACAUGAACACAUGUAAAGUGAAUACAUGUCUAUGUAAAUAUAGACGUAUGUUUAUAUUUGUAUGUAAUUCUACCAAAUUGACCCAUUUUGAACUUACUUGGACUUUAGACUAAAAUCCCUUUGGUUUGAGUGACACUAUACCUAAAUUAUGUUUAUUUUAUUAAAAUAAAUGAUUGGACAUUCUACACAGUCACUAUCAAAACAAAUCACAACACUACUGAAACCGUGCCAAGCGUUUCGGUAGUGACAAUUUCUGCUUGUUUUGAGCAGUAUUUAAAAACACAGUCAGUACUUGACUAGCAAACACAGCUUUGAACAGCUGUACACACAUAAAAUUGUAAUUUUAUUAUUAAAACACAAGUUGACUUAACUACAGAAAUUGUGCGUGGGUUUAAACUCUGUGUUUCAGUAGUGACAAGAAAAUGUGGGAUAGCAGUUUUGAAUUUUUCAACUUUACAAAAAAAAUCAAACAUUUUAAACAUUGAAAAAAUGAUUAAAGAAUGAACUUUACACUGGAUUAUAUACAUUAAAAAUGUACUAUUCGCAGUGAAAUUCUUAUGGAUUUAAACUGUUCUAUAUAAUGUAAAGCAAACAGCAAAUGGCACAUAUUGAAAUUAACAUUGUAGAAAAGUGCACAUAAUGGACUUACAAAAAAAGGAAAGGAAA
Colossoma macropomum (tambaqui) is the source of this 1992-nucleotide long non-coding RNA. RefSeq lists it as uncharacterized. Lineage: Eukaryota; Metazoa; Chordata; Actinopteri; Characiformes; Serrasalmidae. The transcript is spliced from 2 exons. The record is from RefSeq and is a predicted model, not a curated record.